RNAcentral lists this long non-coding RNA (549 nucleotides) under Gallus gallus (chicken). RNAcentral describes it as "long non-coding RNA NONGGAT003916". Lineage: Eukaryota; Metazoa; Chordata; Aves; Galliformes; Phasianidae. The record is from RNAcentral.
UCCAAAGCAUGUGCAGUCUUGGCCAGCUGACAGCCACUCCGCUGUGCUCUGAACAUGGCUGCUAGACGGACUGUUUGCAGGAAAAGGCUCCAUACAACUUGAAGAAAAUGUCAACAUUGUUUCAGAGAUGUCAGCAACAAAUCCAUUCCAGCUAUAAAGUUGUUUCUGCAAGAACACAGAGAAAUCCGUGCGUUUAUCUUGAAGACAACUCUUUCAAACAAAUGUUCUAAUUAGGAACCACAACAUCCUAUUUCUUUUUUAAUGCUCUAGUUGUAAAUGGACAACAAAUGUUGUUGAGCAAGAGAAUGUCAUUGUCUAAACGUGGAAAUGGAAUUUCAAGUUCUGCAUUCAAUUAUGUUUGGAGGUUUUGCCUUUCAUUUCGAGUUAAACCUGGAGAUUUUGAAAAAGAAAUCUGUCUCCAUUAUUGCUUCUCUUUUUUAAACAGUAAGAAUAUGAAAGAGCACAUUCGAGCUGCCAGGAACAGCAUGGAGAUCGUCUAAAACACAGCAGACCUCUUGGUUGUUCAAAUAAUUGUGCACUGUAUCAACA